Molecule: ribosomal RNA, 816 nt
Filed under: Urospermum picroides
Lineage: Eukaryota; Viridiplantae; Streptophyta; Magnoliopsida; Asterales; Asteraceae
Description: eukaryotic LSU rRNA
Rfam family: 5.8S ribosomal RNA (bases 381-536)
Source: RNAcentral
GGAUCGCGGCGACGUGGGCGGUCCGCCGCCGGCGACGUCACGAGAAUUCCACUGAACCUUAUCAUUUAGAGGAAGGAGAAGUCGUAACAAGGUUUCCGUAGGUGAACCUGCGGAAGGAUCAUUGUCGAACCCUGCAAAGCAGACGACCCGUGAACAUGUAAACACAACUUGGUGGUGGUGUGAGGUGCCUUGGUCCCAAACCCCAUCCCAUCCUGAUGUUCAUUUGUGGUGCCUUGUUAGGGGCAUCAUUAAUGUUCUGUUGGGACUAUAACAACCCCCGGCACGGAACGUGCCAAGGAAAACAUAUAAUGAGAAGGACUCCUCUAGUGUGCCCCGUUUUCGGUGUGCAUUCUAGGUGUGGCCUCCUUAGAAUCACAAACGACUCUCGGCAACGGAUAUCUCGGCUCACGCAUCGAUGAAGAACGUAGCAAAAUGCGAUACUUGGUGUGAAUUGCAGAAUCCCGUGAACCAUCGAGUUUUUGAACGCAAGUUGCGCCAGAAGCCAUCCGGCUGACGGCACGCCUGCCUGGGCGUCACGCAUCGCGUCGCCCCCACCAUACAUCUCCAACGAGUAGUAUGUGAUUGGGGGCGGAGAUUGGUCUCCCGUUCAUGUUGCGGUUGGCCUAAAUAGAAGUCCCCUUUGGCGGACACACAACUAGUGGUGGUUGAAUAGACCCUCGUCUUUUGUUGUGUGUUAUGAGCCCGGUAGGUUGGCACUUAUCAAAGACCCAACGCAUUGUAUCAUGAAAAUGCCUCGACCGCGACCCCAGGUCAGGCGGGACUACCCGCUGAGUUUAAGCAUAUCAAUAAGCGGAG